CUGCAAAUAAUUGUGUUCGUCCAUCAUGGAGAAAAAGCCUCACCAUGAAAGUGUUGGGUUUCCCUGGUCCUUUAUAAGCUGUCAUUAAACAUAAUGCACUGUAAUGUCAAGUAACCGACUGCUUGUUGCCCUUAACUAAUCUGACCGCGGGUAA
This is a long non-coding RNA of Thalassophryne amazonica, 154 nucleotides long. RefSeq lists it as uncharacterized. The transcript is spliced from 3 exons. NCBI's taxonomy places the organism in Eukaryota, Metazoa, Chordata, Actinopteri, Batrachoidiformes, Batrachoididae. The record is from RefSeq and is a predicted model, not a curated record.